GGGGAAUAUUGCACAAUGGGGGAAACCCUGAUGCAGCGACGCCGCGUGGAGGAAGAAGGUCUUCGGAUUGUAAACUCCUGUUGUUGAGGAAGAUAAUGACGGUACUCAACAAGGAAGUGACGGCUAACUACGUGCCAGCAGCCGCGGUAAAACGUAGGUCACAAGCGUUGUCCGGAAUUACUGGGUGUAAAGGGAGCGCAGGCGGGAAGACAAGUUGGAAGUGAAAUCUAUGGGCUCAACCCAUAAACUGCUUUCAAAACUGUUUUUCUUGAGUAGUGCAGAGGUAGGUGGAAUUCCCGGUGUAGCGGUGGAAUGCGUAGAUAUCGGGAGGAACACCAGUGGCGAAGGCGGCCUACUGGGCACCAACUGACGCUGAGGCUCGAAAGUGUGGGUAGCAAACAGGAUUAGAUACCCUGGUAGUCCACACCGUAAACGAUGAUUACUAGGUGUUGGAGGAUUGACCCCUUCAGUGCCGCAGUUAACACAAUAAGUAAUCCACCUGGGGAGUACGACCGCAAGGUUGAAACUCAAAGGAAUUGACGGGGGCCCGCACAAGCAGUGGAGUAUGUGGUUUAAUUCGACGCAACGCGAAGAACCUUACCAAGUCUUGACAUCCCUUGACAGACAUAGAAAUAUGUUUUCUCUUCGGAGCAAGGAGACAGGUGGUGCAUGGUUGUCGUCAGCUCGUGUCGUGAGAUGUUGGGUUAAGUCCCGCAACGAGCGCAACCCUUAUGGUCAGUUACUACGCAAGAGGACUCUGGCCAGACUGCCGUUGACAAAACGGAGGAAGGUGGGGAUGACGUCAAAUCAUCAUGCCCUUUAUGACUUGGGCUACACACGUACUACAAUGGCGUUAAACAAAGAGAAGCAAGACCGCGAGGUGGAGCAAAACUCAGAAACAACGUCCCAGUUCGGACUGCAGGCUGCAACUCGCCUGCACGAAGUCGGAAUUGCUAGUAAUCGUGGAUCAGCAUGCCACGGUGAAUACGUUCCCG
RNAcentral lists this ribosomal RNA (995 nucleotides) under uncultured bacterium. RNAcentral describes it as "bacterial SSU rRNA". It matches the Rfam family "Bacterial small subunit ribosomal RNA", at positions 356 to 1376 of the family's 1533-position model. The record is from RNAcentral.